RNAcentral lists this ribosomal RNA (498 nucleotides) under Acinetobacter baumannii. RNAcentral describes it as "bacterial SSU rRNA". It matches the Rfam family "Bacterial small subunit ribosomal RNA", at positions 1 to 491 of the family's 1533-position model. Lineage: Bacteria; Pseudomonadati; Pseudomonadota; Gammaproteobacteria; Moraxellales; Moraxellaceae. The record is from RNAcentral.
UUUAACUGAAGAGUUUGAUCAUGGCUCAGAUUGAACGCUGGCGGCAGGCUUAACACAUGCAAGUCGAGCGGGGGAAGGUAGCUUGCUACCGGACCUAGCGGCGGACGGGUGAGUAAUGCUUAGGAAUCUGCCUAUUAGUGGGGGACAACAUCUCGAAAGGGAUGCUAAUACCGCAUACGUCCUACGGGAGAAAGCAGGGGAUCUUCGGACCUUGCGCUAAUAGAUGAGCCUAAGUCGGAUUAGCUAGUUGGUGGGGUAAAGGCCUACCAAGGCGACGAUCUGUAGCGGGUCUGAGAGGAUGAUCCGCCACACUGGGACUGAGACACGGCCCAGACUCCUACGGGAGGCAGCAGUGGGGAAUAUUGGACAAUGGGGGGAACCCUGAUCCAGCCAUGCCGCGUGUGUGAAGAAGGCCUUAUGGUUGUAAAGCACUUUAAGCGAGGAGGAGGCUACUUUAGUUAAUACCUAGAGAUAGUGGACGUUACUCGCAGAAUAAGC